UCUUUUCCUCGUGUGCCAGCCGCCGCGGUAAUACGGAAGGUCCGGGCGUUAUCCGGAUUUAUUGGGUUUAAAGGGAGCGUAGGCCGGAGAUUAAGCGUGUUGUGAAAUGUAGACGCUCAACGUCUGCACUGCAGCGCGAACUGGUUUCCUUGAGUACGCACAAAGUGGGCGGAAUUCGUGGUGUAGCGGUGAAAUGCUUAGAUAUCACGAAGAACUCCGAUUGCGAAGGCAGCUCACUGGAGCGCAACUGACGCUGAAGCUCGAAAGUGCGGGUAUCGAACAGG
RNAcentral lists this ribosomal RNA (284 nucleotides) under Segatella copri DSM 18205. RNAcentral's name for it is "Prevotella copri DSM 18205 partial 16S ribosomal RNA". It matches the Rfam family "Bacterial small subunit ribosomal RNA", at positions 493 to 776 of the family's 1533-position model. The record is from RNAcentral. Lineage: Bacteria; Pseudomonadati; Bacteroidota; Bacteroidia; Bacteroidales; Prevotellaceae.